Small nuclear RNA from Phodopus roborovskii (desert hamster), 163 nucleotides. RefSeq annotates it as U1 spliceosomal RNA. The transcript has a single exon. Lineage: Eukaryota; Metazoa; Chordata; Mammalia; Rodentia; Cricetidae. The record is from RefSeq and is a predicted model, not a curated record.
AUAAUUACCUGACAGAGGAGAUACCAUGAUCAUGAAAGUGGUUUUCCAGGGCAAGGUUUAUCCAUUGCAGUCCAGAUGUGCUCACCCCUGUGAUUUCCCCAAAUGCAGGAAACUCGACUGCAUAAUUUGUGGUAGUCGGGAACUGCAUUUUUACUCUCCCCUG